Molecule: ribosomal RNA, 700 nt
Filed under: uncultured Actinomycetes bacterium
Lineage: Bacteria; Bacillati; Actinomycetota; Actinomycetes
Description: bacterial SSU rRNA
Rfam family: Bacterial small subunit ribosomal RNA
Source: RNAcentral
UUGCUCCGGUGGAUUAGUGGCGAACGGGUGAGUAACACGUGAGAAAUCUGCCCUUGACUCUGGGAUAACUGCGGGAAACUGUAGCUAAUACCGGAUACUUUCCCUGGUGGGCAUCCACUGGGGAAGAAAGAAUUUCGGUCAAGGAUGAUCUCGCGGCCUAUCAGCUAGUUGGUGAGGUAAUGGCUCACCAAGGCGACGACGGGUAGCCGGCCUGAGAGGGUGACCGGCCACACUGGGACUGAGACACGGCCCAGACUCCUACGGGAGGCAGCAGUGGGGAAUAUUGCACAAUGGGCGCAAGCCUGAUGCAGCAACGCCGCGUGAGGGAUGAAGGCCUUCGGGUUGUAAACCUCUUUUAGCAGGGAAGAAGCGAAAGUGACGGUACCUGCAGAAAAAGCACCGGCUAACUACGUGCCAGCAGCCGCGGUAAUACGUAGGGUGCAAGCGUUGUCCGGAAUUAUUGGGCGUAAAGAGCUCGUAGGCGGUUUGUCACGUCUGCUGUGAAAUUUCGAGGCUCAACCUCGAACUUGCAGUGGGUACGGGCAGGCUAGAGUGCGGUAGGGGAGAUGGGAAUUCCUGGUGUAGCGGUGGAAUGCGCAGAUAUCAGGAGGAACACCAAUGGCGAAGGCACAUCUCUGGGCCGUAACUGACGCUGAGGAGCGAAAGCGUGGGGAGCGAACAGGAUUAGAUACCCUGGUAG